This is a long non-coding RNA of Pungitius pungitius (ninespine stickleback), 5058 nucleotides long. RefSeq lists it as uncharacterized. The transcript has 3 exons. NCBI's taxonomy places the organism in Eukaryota, Metazoa, Chordata, Actinopteri, Perciformes, Gasterosteidae. The record is from RefSeq and is a predicted model, not a curated record.
GUGGUUGUAAGUGACAGCUAAAUGGACUCCACAUUGUGCUAAAUAAACCAAAUAUUCAAACACAGAAUCAACGGCGUAAGCGGGUUUAUUUUACCGAACGAAACAUGUGCAGUGGCCAGCGCGUCAAACCCUACUUUUAGCCUGUCUACGCAGCCCCUCAGUGGCUUUAAGUUAGGCUUAGCCGCUACACGCUUAUUAAAUCAUAUUAUCAGUUAUACAUUAUCUUCAUUUCAAAACAUAUUAUUUUUUUAUGUAGCAUCUGAACAGUUUUAUUUCUGGUGGGUUCAUCUAAAUCUCACUAUAAAUCCUCCAUUAUUAAAAAGACAGACUUUGUAAUGAAAAGAAAUCACAUGUAGGCCUAUAUAUCAUUGAACAUCUUCCCACUUAGUCCUUAAGGCAAUUUAUUGAAUAAUAUUUAUGGUCUGCUGCAGUUAAUAACAACUAUUUAAGCUGUGUUCACAACAUAGCAUGAUAAACAACUAAAAUGUUUGUCUCCCUGUGUUCAGCAGACCGGAUAUAAAACAAGUAAAAACGACAUGCUUCGCUGUUGUCGUUUUUUUUGGAAAGUUGCAGAAACAGAUGUUCAUUAAACUGUAUUGAAUGGCCAGAACGAAAUAAUAACGAAAUAAUACCGGAAUAAAUAAAAAAUCCAUAUAUAUAUUUAAUAAAAACGAGAGCACGUAGAAACACGCACGCACGCACGCGCGCCGUAAAAUGCCAUGGCAACCGAACGAUGACCCGACCGAGGGUAUAUAAGGUCAGCGCACUUUCUGAACGUUCCCUUUGCUCUUUGACUUGAACGCGAACUUUAAACCUCCCGUGAAAGCAAACUGCUGAGAACAAAACCUUUGAGUUUUUGACUACUGAGCGGAUUCUACUGGAUACCGAUAUUGUUGGAGAAGUGAACUACUGUAUAACAUCUUUAGUGGAGCACAGACGAGGCUGAAACAGGCCCUCAGGAGCGGCGGAGGAGCGGCGGAGCAUCGAGGACGACCACCGGCUGAAGGAAGUUGGCUGAUUGGAACCUUCAGUGUUCAACUGGUGUUACCUGCAUCAUGGAACGUCCCACACAACCCUGCCCCCUCGGCGAUGACCACGGCGUUCUCCUCAACUCUUCGGAUGAGGUAGGUGAGGUUGACUAUUAUGCUGUGGGUGAAGUUGAUUUUAUUCCCCUGGCCUUCCCGGAUGACAACGAGGAGCAGGAAAAGGAUGAAGAGGAGGAUGAAGAGGAGGAUGAAGAGGAGGAGGAAGAGGAGCGGCCCAUGUUGGCAAUGGACAGGCAACUGAUGCACUUUGGACUGGAGGCAGCAUUGUAUUUUCUGGCGGAGCAACACCAUGAGGAGGAAGAGGAUGAUGAGGACUGGAAGGAUUCUGGGUACGACUCCAUGUCUGUGUGCGACUCCCUUUCUGAGGACGAUUGGAUGGACUGGGUGGCACCUACGGAAGAAAUGCAACAAGAAGCUUUCCUGCAGUCUGUACUACUGCAACAUCCCCCACUUCCUUCACAUGUGGACCUUCCCGAAGAAGCGCCGAGUCCAGUCCCCCAGACGUCAGGAUUGUCCACCAAGAGGAGCAGGGAAGAGGACGACGCAGGUCAGGUAAGUAGGAAGAGGCAGAGGGAUGAGGACGACCAUGUGGACACAGCCGAAGAGGACUACAGGAACUCGGCACCCUCCACUUCAGGCCUCGCACCCUCCACUUCAGGCCGAGCACCCACAUUCAGAAGAUACUGGCAGUGGGCGGAAGACAGCGACUCGGAUUGAUGUCCUGAAGAAGCGCUGACAGCGCGUCAGGAGUGUCCUCCAAGAAGAGGACAACACAGAGCAGGUAAGUGAGAAAAGGCUGAGGGACGGUUACGAGGACCAUGUGGACAGUCCCUUGUUCUUCAGGACUAGGCCCCUCAUCCACUAAAAUUACCAAGACAGAGGACUACAACAUACUGGCAGUUGGCUGAAAACAGCAACUUGAUUGACAGCGACAUUCUGCUUGCUGCAGGAUGUAAAAACCGCCUUCCGCCGUGUUCAGCGAGGUUGGCUAUAGGUAGCAUCUUGCAGCAGAGUUUUUAGGCAUAUCUUCUUUAUGGGUUGAUCAAUUUGCAUCUAGUGCAAUCGCCCCCACUUCCUUCUCUUGUGGAAUGUCCUGAUGAAGCACUAAUCCCAGUCCUUCAGAUGUCAGGAGUGUCCUCCAAGUAGGCAAAGGGACGACACAGGGCAGGUAAGUGUGAAAAGGCAAAGAGACGGUGUCGAGGACCAGGUGGACACAGCCCCUUGCACUUCAGGGCUAGGCCCCUGCUCCACUAAGAGGACCAGGGAAGAGGACUACAGGAAUUCAGCACCCUCCACUUCAGGCCUCGCCCCACCCACACACAGAAGAUACUGGCCGCAGGCGGAAGACAGCGACUCGGAUUGAUGUCCUGAAGAAGCGCUGACUCCGUCAGGAGUGUCCUCCAAGCAGAAAAGAGGACAACACAGGGCAAGUGUGAAAAAGCAAAGAGACGGUGUCGAGGACCAUGUGGACACAGCCCCUUGCACUUCAGGGCUAGGCCCCUGCCCCACUAAGAGGACCAGGGAAGAGGACUACAGAGAGUCAGUGCACUCCACUUUAGGCCUCCACUUUCCCUCCUCAAAGAAGAGCGAUGCAGAUGGCUACCGGUGGUUUCCUCCCUCAUCUUUAGGCCUCAGCCCCCCACACACAGAAGAUGCUGGCAGUGGGCUGAAAGCAGCGACUUGGAUUGACAGCGACAUUCUGCUUGCUGCAGGAUGUAAAACCGCCUUCCCCCGUUUUCAGCGAGGUUGGCUAUAGGUACCAUCUUGCAGCAGAGUUUUUAGGCCUAUAUUUUUUAUGGAUUGAUACAUUUGCGUCCAGUGCAAUCUCCCCCACUCCCUUCUCCUGUGGAAUGUCCUGAUGAAGCACUAAUCCCAGUCCCCCAGAUGUCAGGAGUCUCCUCCAAGUAGGCAAAAGGACGACACAGGGCAGGUAAGUGUGAAAAGGCAAAGAGACGGUGUAGAGGACCAUGUGGACACAGCCCCUUGCACUUCAGGGCUAGGCCCCUGCCCCACUAAGAGGACCAGGGAAGAGGACUACAGAGAGUCAGUGCACUCCACUUUAGGCCUCCACUUUCCCUCCUCAAAGAAGAGCGAAGCAGAUGGCUACCGGUGGUUUCCUCCCUCAUCUUUAGGCCUCAACACAGAAGAUGCUGGCAGUGGGCUGGAAGCAGCAACUUGAAUUGACAGCAACAUGCUACAGGAUGUAAAACCGCCAUUUCCUGUGUUCCGUGAGGUUGGCUAUAGGUAGCAUCUUGCAGCAGAGUUUUUAGGCAUAUCUUCUUUAUGGAUUCAUAAAUUCGCGACCAGCGCAAUCUCCCCCACGUGGACACAGUCCCUUAUACUUCAGAUCUAGGCCCCUCGUCCACUAAGAGGACCAGGGAAGAGGACAAGAAGAUACUAGCAGUGGGCGGAAAACAGCGACUUGAAUUGAGAGCGACAGCUUGCUUUCUGCAGGAUGUGAAACCUUUGUGUCUGGUCAGGACUGAUAAAGCCCCAGACAGCCCCUUAUCUACCAAGUGAGGAGGACCAUUUGGACACAGCCCCUUCUACUUCAGGUCUAGGCCCCUGCCCCACUAAGAGGAGCAGGGAAGAGGACUACAGAGAGUCAGCGCACUCCGCUUUAGGCCUCGGUCCCUCCUCAAAGAAGAGCGAAGCAGAUGGCUACCGGUGGUUUCCUCCCUCAUCUUCAGGCCUCAGCCCCCACACACAGAAGAUGCUGGCAGUGGGCUGAAAGCAGAAACUUGAAUUAACAGCAACAUGCUGCAGGAUGUAAAGCCGCCAUUCCCCGUGAGGUUGGCUAUAGGUAGCAUCUUGCAGAAGAGAUUUUAGGUAUCUCUUCUUAAUUGAUUGAUACAUUUGCGACCAGUGCAGUCUCCUCCACUUCCUUCUCAUGUGGAAUGUCCUGAUGAAGCGCUAAUCCCAGUCCCCCAGAUGUCAGGAGUCUCCUCCAAGUGGGCAAAAGGACGACACAGGGCAGGUAAGUGUGAAAAGACAGAGGGACUGUCGAGGACCAUGUGGACACAGCCCCUUGCACUUCACGUCUAGGCUCCUCCUCCACUAAGAGAACCAGGGAAGAGGACUACACUGAGUCAGCUCCCUACAUUUCAUGCCUCUGCCCCUUCUUAAUGAAGAGCCCAGCAGAUGGCUACCGGUGGUUUUCCCCCCCCCACUUCACGGCCUCAGCCCCCCCCCCCCACACACACAGAUACUAUCUCUUCUUUAUACAUUUUAAUUUUGAUUAAUAGUUGAUGCUAUUCAUAGAGGCCAGAGGUAAGUUACAGGGGAUGGUUGUUAUUCUGUGUUGUAUUUUUAUUCAUGUAGUCUGGAUGUUUUUUUCAGACAAAGGUAAGUCUAUGCUUUUUAAUAACAUGCAUACCAGACAGAAGUCUCCAGAAAGUCUCUUUUAUAGUUAAGAAAAUUAAGGUGAAGGUGACUGAACCAGACAACGUUUAAGUAAUAUCCCCCAUAUGUUAAAAGGUUUUCAAGUUUCUUUUACAGUAAUGAGCCUAAUACAGGAAGAGAUCAGAAGGACGGAGGACUACAGGACCAGAUGACAAGGAUGGAUGACUGCAGGACCAGAUGACAAGGAUGGACGACUACAGGACCAGAUGACAAGGAUGGACGACUACAGGACCAGAUGACAAGGAUGGACGACUGCAGGACCAGAUGACAAGGAUGGACGACUACAGGACCAGAUGACAAGGAUGGACGACUAAAGAGCGGCUGGCGCCUUUCUUUCACUGGGCCAAGGAGAGACUCCUCCAGACUUGUCUAACUCCUGGGACAGCUAAGAGUAGAAGUCAGCCUACCCGUCGUGCCAAGCAGACCCAGACCCCCCACAGACCCCUCAAUGCCUCUCAGAACCCCGGUGAGUCCCAGACCUGUCACCCCAAGACCACCCGCCCCAGCCCCACGGAGAGAGGACGUCAGCAGCUGUCAGCCAAGAAUUCAUAUUCCAACAAAUUGAUGAUCUUAGGAUUCUGAAAUCUGACAUCAUUCACAACUUAAAUAA